CUACGGGCGGCUGCAGUGGGGAAUAUUGCACAAUGGGCGCAAGCCUGAUGCAGCCAUGCCGCGUGUAUGAAGAAGGCCUUCGGGUUGUAAAGUACUUUCAGCGGGGAGGAAGGGAGUAAAGUUAAUACCUUUGCUCAUUGACGUUACCCGCAGAAGAAGCACCGGCUAACUCCGUGCCAGCAGCCGCGGUAAUACGGAGGGUGCAAGCGUUAAGCGGAAUUACUGGGCGUAAAGCGCACGUAGGCGGUGUGUUAAGUCAGAGGUGAAAUCCCCGGGCUCAACCUGGGAACUGCAUCUGAUACUGGCAAGCUUGAGUCUCGUAGAGGGGGGUAGAAUUCCAGGUGUAGCGGUGAAAUGCGUAGAGAUCUGGAGGAAUACCGGUGGCGAAGGCGGCCCCCUGGACGAAGACUGACGCUCAGGUGCGAAAGCGUGGGGAGCAAACAGGAUUAGAUACCCCUGUAGUC
Molecule: ribosomal RNA, 464 nt
Filed under: uncultured bacterium
Lineage: Bacteria
Description: partial 16S ribosomal RNA
Rfam family: Bacterial small subunit ribosomal RNA
Source: RNAcentral